This 494-nucleotide ribosomal RNA is filed under the name uncultured bacterium. RNAcentral describes it as "partial 16S ribosomal RNA". It matches the Rfam family "Bacterial small subunit ribosomal RNA", at positions 29 to 507 of the family's 1533-position model. The record is from RNAcentral.
AUGAACGCUGGCGGCGUGCCUAAUACAUGCAAGUAGAACGCUGAAGGAGGAGCUUGCUCUUCUGGAUGAGUUGCGAACGGGUGAGUAACGCGUAGGUAACCUGCCUGGUAGCGGGGGAUAACUAUUGGAAACGAUAGCUAAUACCGCAUGACAACAGUUAUUGCAUGAUAACUGUUUAAAAGGGGCAACUGCUCCACUACCAGAUGGACCUGCGUUGUAUUAGCUAGUUGGUGAGGUAACGGCUCACCAAGGCGACGAUACAUAGCCGACCUGAGAGGGUGAUUGGCCACACUGGGACUGAGACACGGCCCAGACUCCUACGGGAGGCAGCAGUAGGGAAUCUUCGGCAAUGGACGGAAGUCUGACCGAGCAACGCCGCGUGAGUGAAGAAGGUUUUCGGAUCGUAAAGCUCUGUUGUAAGAGAAGAACGAGUGUGAGAGUGGAAAGUUCACACUGUGACGGUAUCUUACCAGAAAGGGACGGCUAACUACGUG